RNAcentral lists this long non-coding RNA (2329 nucleotides) under Apis mellifera (honey bee). Its description in RNAcentral is "uncharacterized LOC102655064". Lineage: Eukaryota; Metazoa; Arthropoda; Insecta; Hymenoptera; Apidae. The record is from RNAcentral.
CUAGUUUCGAACUUUCACAUUAGUUUUAUAAAAUAUUUGUUUUCAGUGAUAUGUUAUCAUAAUAAAUCACAUAAACGAGAAAAAUAUAAUAUAAUGAAAUAAUUAUAAUUAAUGCAAUAGUAUUGAUAAUAUAGCACAAAUUUGCAGGUCAAAUUCAAAGGGACACAAAAUAAAUCAUUAAGAAGGAAGUGAAAAAUCAUUGGAAUCGGAUGAUAAGGAAGGCAAGAAUUAAGGACUGUCUGUACCUGUACUAAGAAAGUAUAUAAUUUGUCAUAUCGCAUCCCCGAUGAUCCGCUUCAAAUGUGAUUUCGCUGAUUUUAUAAUGUUCUCUCAUAAGCUUUCAAAAUCAGAAGGAGGAAUUAUAUAUCACUUAUUUAUAAAAAUUUAUCUUCUUAUUUAUAAAAAGAUAUUUUUUAGAUUAUUUUUAAAUUUCUUUGUUUAUGCGAGAAGCAUUUGUUGAAGCAAGAGUUUUUUAAAUUCAAUUAAAUUUAAUCAUGUUCCAACAAAAUUAGUUCCGUUAUCCGAAUAAAUAUCGUAGCAUAAUUGUGGAUGUAUAAUAAAUUUUUUUACCAGUUUAGAAAUGCAUCUGUGAAAAGAUUAAUAAUUAAUUCAAUAUAGCGAAUCGCCUUUAUUACAAAAUAUACGAAUAAACAGAUGUAUUCCUUAGUAUAAAUUUUAAUGCGCAUCCUGUCCUUAGAUCUGCAUAGUCUUCGCAGAUAGCAAGAUAUAUAGAGGAAUAUACAGGAGUGAGUUGGAUAACAGAUAAAUUACUCAUUAUUUGCGUUGGACUUUACUUGAAAAUAUUAAACAUUUUUUAAUGAUGCUCUUCACUAUCCUUCUAGCAGAUGAUAUCCAAAAUUUUUUGCGCAGCAAAAAAACUAUAUAGUUUGAUAACUCGCGUAUAAUUAUAAAAAAAUUUAUGAAAAAUAAAUAAUCUACUUGAUUUGUAUACUGAGUGAAUAAUAAAUAUUUUUGUUUAAUUGAGGCAUUGCUUAUUCUAAGAAAUCUAAAAGUAUCUAAGAAUUUAACAAGUACAGUACUUUGUCUUUCAGAAUUUCUAAAUUAUUUUUUAAGUUCUGAAUUUCUGAUUUGAAGUGUGUUUGUUAUAAUAUAUUUGUUAUAAUAUUGUUAUAAUAUUUUAUAAUAUGAGUUCAUAUGUAGAGACUAAAUGAGAUAAAUAUAUUAUUCGUGAUUUUGCUUACGUAGUUUUCAAUAAAUCAGAAAUAGUAGGCGUGAAAUAGUCGGUUAUAAGAUAAAAAUCUUAAAAAAUUCUAUUUCUUUAUCUUAAUCACUGAAAAGUUGUAACUGUACUGUGUUCUUUAUAGUUCUUCGAUAUAAGAAUCUGUCUGUGACUAUUGCAUGUAGUUCUCCAAGUUCACCAUAGUGUUGUCAUAUGCAAUUCUAAUAAGAAAAAAUCUCGAAAGAUCAUCGUUUUGAUUCAUUGAAAUCAUUCAUGAUUUCAAAUUAGGUGAUAUAUCCUAAUCGUUGUAUUUUUAAUUUGCAACGAAGAUCUUUUAUCAUGAUAGUGAUGCCUUAAUCCAGAAUAUAAUCAUAGUAUCAGUCCAACAAAAUUCUUGACUUCAAUUGCAAUUUAGUGUUAUACACAUCUUUUUAAUGAGUUGCACAAACAGCAAGAUAUUACAGUUCCAAGCGCAUUAGAUUAGUUUGAUUUGACACAUAAGAAGAACAUAUAUGUGCUAUUGUCUAUGAUUUUGUAAACGUAAGUAAAUACAGAUAUUAUGUAAUUGUCCUAUCGAUUAUAGCUCUGAAAACUGCAAUGUUAUUAACUAAAAUCUAGUUUAUUCCAGAAAUUUAUUCACGAAGUAUGAGGAAGAGAUUCAUCAAGAGAUUUUUAAUUGCCAUAAUUGUUGCACUAAUAAAUAAAUUCGCGUAUAAAAUAAAUACUUUUAAUAAUCUUAAUAGGUCAAAUAUUUGUGAUAUAUUAGAUAAGAUGGUAUGUUUCGUUAUGAAAUCCAUUGAAAAAUCUUAUAAAAUACAAUUCAUCUUGGUGCGCAUUCCACAAUAGUUCCAGUAUUUUUGUUUCUUUUUUAGAUUUGAUUUUGAUUUUCACUUCUGAUUUUUCAUCAUUUAAUAUUCUAUUGUUAUUAGUAAUUCAAUUUCGAAGUGAACUUAUAAUACAUAAAAUUGUGAUCAAUUCGUUGUUAGUUUGUUUGUAUUAGAUCAUUUAUUCUAUUCUGUUAAUAGGUUAUUGAUAUAAAAAUCGAAUCGAAAAAUGACCUGGCUGCUAUUAAAGAAGUUAUUUCUGUAAUUUUCACCAACAACAGUCGAAUUGCUAAAAAAGAUCCAUAAAUAUUUAAUUCGUAAAUUU